RNAcentral lists this transfer RNA (73 nucleotides) under Equus caballus (horse). It matches the Rfam family "tRNA". Rfam says of the family: Transfer RNA (tRNA) molecules are approximately 80 nucleotides in length. Their secondary structure includes four short double-helical elements and three loops (D, anti-codon, and T loops). The record is from Rfam by way of RNAcentral. Lineage: Eukaryota; Metazoa; Chordata; Mammalia; Perissodactyla; Equidae.
GCCUUCUUGAUGCAGUUGUCAGCGCAUCUGUCUCAUAAUCUGAAGGUUGUAAGUUCAAGUCUCAGAGAGGGCA